Molecule: long non-coding RNA, 4647 nt
Filed under: Sus scrofa (pig)
Lineage: Eukaryota; Metazoa; Chordata; Mammalia; Artiodactyla; Suidae
Description: lncRNA (ENSSSCG00000052557.1)
Source: RNAcentral
CACAACAGAAAUUCUGACUUGACCAAUUUUAUAUUCUGAAAAGAUCAUGCUACUCUUGUACAUUUAUCCCAGGCAGACAGAAACACACAAAAACCAAAGUUCAUGGCAGUUUUAUUCAUAAUAACCAAAAACUAGAAACAACCCAACUAUCCUUCAAUGAGUGAAUGGUUAAACUGUAGUACAGCAAUACCAUGGAAUACUGCUUGGCACUCAAAGUAAUGAACUCUUGAUAUGUACAACAAGUUGGAUUAAUAACAAAGGUAUUACACUGAGUAAAAAAGCCAAUCUCAAGAUUACAUGCUUAAUUAUUUCAUUUAUAUAGAAUUAUUGAAAUGACAAAAUGAUAGAGAACAGAUUGAUGGUUAUAAGAGAAUAGGGAGUGGGGAAGAGAGAGUUAACUGUGCCUAUAAAAGGGUAGCCCAAGAUAUUCUUAUGAUGUAACGCUUCUGUAUCUUGACUUUGGUGGUGACCAUAUAAAUUUAUACAUAACAGCACAAAAGCAUGAAACUAAAUACACACACGUACAUGAGUGCAUGUAAAAACGAGUGAAAUCUGAGUAAAAUGGAUGACUUGUACCAAUGUCAGUUUCCUGAUUGGGACAUUAUACCAUACUUAUGUAAGUUAUUAUACUGGGCCAAACUGGGUGUCUUUCUGUAUUAAAUAUUACAAUUGCAUGAUAAACAGUAAUAAUCUCGAAAUUAAAAGUUUAGAAAAAAGAUCAAGCCAGUUUUAUUGUAAACAGAAGGAGCAAAAGUAUGGAGGCUACUAUAGUAGAACAGACAAGACAUAAAUUAGGGUAGUGACAAUGGGAAGGAAAGAAAAAUGGAUGGAACUGAGAUAAUUCAGAAGUAAAAUAUACAGGAUUUUCUUACGGAUUGAAUGUGGGAGAUGAAGGAGAAAGAGGUGGCAACUAUAACACUGGUUCCGUUUUUAUGCUUAUAAAACAAUAUGGAGGAUGGUGCCACUCAUGGUUGUAUGAAACAACAGCAGAGAACUAGGGUAGAGGGAAGAUUAUAAGAUCUGUUUUUGAGAUGUCUAGUGUGAGAUGUUUUUGAUAAAGAUAAGUGAGCACACUAAGUAGGCAGAUGACUAUAUACAACUGGAAUUCAGAAGUAAAGUGAAGGCAAAUGAAGCUGUUGGCAUGGAUGAUAGUUUUUGCCUCGAGACGGGGUUAGAAUGAGAAGAAGACCCAAACUGGGACUUGAAAAACUCUUAAUAUUUAAUCAGCUGGUAGAGAAAAGUGAGGCUGUGAGUAUCUGCAGAAAGAACAGCUAGGAGGUCACAGGAAAAUUAGAAAACCUUGGCACAGAAGCCAAGAGAAGAAAGCAUUUCAAAGAGAGUGAUCAGUAGUGACCACUGAGAAGUCAAAUAAGUUAAGGACUGAAAAAUAUGUAAUUUAAUAUAUUAGUCUAGAGGUUAUCGUUGACCUUAACAAAAGGUGGUUUGUUCAAGAGGUAGAAGCAGUAACCUGUUCAUAAUGGAGUAAGAAGAGAGUAAGAAGUGAAGAAACAGAGACAGCAAAUGUGGAUAAGUCUUAGAAGUUUUACUGUAAAGAAAAAGAAAAUGAGCCAGUAUAAUAUCUUAAGAAUGGGGGCGUGAGGUCAAAAGUUUUGGGAAAAAGUGGAAACACUGGCAUUCUUAAAUGCUUGAGGAGGAUACAGUAGAGAGGGGCAAGAGAAGAGGGUCGGGUGAUUGGUGGUGAAAGAUUCCUGAUAAGGACAGAGACAUGGAACCCUGAGCACAAAUGGAAGGAUAGAAGGAAGGACGUCUCUUCUAUAAUUACAAGAAAGUAGAAAGAAAAGCAGUGAUCAGUGUGAGCCACGUGUAGCUUUGUUACUGAGGGGUUUGAGAGGUUUUCCAAAUGAUGGCUUCUAGGGUGCAAGAUCCUGCUAAGAAUAAGUAAGGAGGAGAUUUGAAAAAAGUAGAGGUUUAAAAUAGUUCUUGGAACAAAUAGGAUGGUAGGUGAACCAGAAAAACAGUAGGAUCCUCCUCAGCAGUGUGGAAGGUCUAGGUGAGUCUGGUGAGUUAAUUUGGUACCUGUCUAUCUUAUGUGAUUUUCUCCAGCAGGUCAGUGACCAAGGUGGAAACUCAGAGGAGAUGUGCAUCUGAGUUCAAAUUAGGGUGGAUUUUUACUUAAUGUCUAUAAAAAGAUAUUAGGUUUUUAGCUUCUUUUUGGUUCUAUUGGCAGCCAGAAUGAAAAGGCAGUAAAAGGGCUCAAUUCAAUUUCUUAAGCAUCUGGUGAGCACCUACCUUGAACCAGGCACUGUGUUUCGAAACAGAGGGGCGGGUGGGGGUGAGUGAUUGGGGGGAACAGUCUAGCAAAGUUUCAAAUCUUCCAUCUAAUCCAAAAGGCCAGGAAUAGGUGAUUAGAUAACCUUUGCCAAAAGUUACGGAAACUCAUGUCCUUACUUUUCCUUCCUCUGCCUGCUCCUUCCUCCCAUCCUGAUUACCCAGUUAUUUUCUUUCUUUCUCACACAAUAUCUGCUGUCUGCCUUAUUGACAAGCUUCUAAUAUUCAUCAUGCAUAUAUGAGUGACAGUUCUGAUUUCUCCCAUCAUCAUUUUGCUAAACUAUGAUCAUCUAGGAACAAUUAGAUCAUCUACUUGAAGUGUGAAAUUGGUACCACAUGAAUUUUCUUUACAUUAUAAGAGCUUCUAUCUAUACAAAAGGCUAUUUAUUUAGAAGAGGGAUGGAUAGAGGAAGAGAGGGUAGGUUAGAGAAAAGAAAGAAAGCAAAGAAGAAGAUCCUAUGUAGCAGCUCACCCUUGUUAUUCAAGGGAAUUCCCACUUGAAUAGAUGGGCCUCCAUUCCUAAUGGUGGCCUAUACCGCCAGCCUCCAAAACAGCUUCCAAACCUGGAGACAUUCCACAGAACUAUAGAUUAGCUAAAUUCCAGCUUCUGGAAAUGUAAGACAAGACAGAAAGAAGACCUAAAGAAUAUGGAAAUUCCUAAUCUCCAACAGCAGUAGAAUUCCUCACUCAGAUUUAUUCUAAUUGUUAUAAAAUGGUGGCUUACAAAGAGGUGUGGCAAUGACAGCUUCCCUUUAUUUGAACACAUUCCAUUCUGCUAGAUUGCCUUUAGGAAAUGACAUUAGGGCCAUUCGACUUAAACUAAAUUGCACAUACAUCUGGGGUAAAAUUUGGCAGCUGUUGAGCAAAGCAGCUGUAUUUUUUUUUUUAAUAUUUACUUCUUUCAUGAUUCUAUAAUUCACUCUUAUUGUAAAAUAUUAAGAAAGUAUAGAAUAUGGAGAAAACAUUCAUAAUCCCACUAAACAGAAAAAAAGCUUUUAUUAACAGUUUUUUAGAUCACCUUGUAUCUUUUCUCUGAAUUUUAACUUAAUUGAGCAUACAUUGUAUGUAUAGGAUUUUUCUUAUUUUUUUUACUAAAUAUUAUACAAGUGCUUCCCAGCUUAUUACAUACUCUCUAUAUAUGCCACCAUAUAUUUGAAUAAUUUUCUAUUAUAUAAAACCCCCAGAACUUUCUUAACUAUGUCCUAGAUUUCUUUUUUUUUUUUUUUUUUGGCUUUUUCCAGGACACACCUGCAGCAUAUGCAGGUUCCCAGGCUAGGGGUCCAAUCGGAGCUGUAGCUGCCAGCCUGCGCCAGAGCCACAGCAAUGUCAGAUCCGAGCUGCACCUGCAACCUACACCACAGCUCGCAGCAACGCCAGUUCCUUAACCCACUGAGCAAGGCCAGGGAUCAAACCAGCAACCUCAUGGUUCAUGGUCGGAUUCGUUAACCACUGAGCCACGACGGGAACUCCUAAAGUUAAAAUUCUAAUUUUUACUUCUAAAAAGUAUACUUUUAGUUUUGUUUGAAUUUGUUACAUGAUGAUGAAGAAGAAAAAAAUCUAUUCAAAAUUUCACCGCUCAGAGAUAACUACUGGUAACAUUUUGGGAAAUGUAUUUCCAAACAUAUCUAUUUAUCUGUUUCUUUGUCUUUGUCUUUCUCUUUCCAAAAUAAGAGGAAAAUCUACUUACUGUUUUGUUAUCUGCUAUAAUGUUAUUAUAGUGUAUUUCAUAUUAAUAAAUAUAGAUCUACCUUAUCUUUUUGACAGCUACCUUGUAUGGCAGUAUAUGGGUAAUUUAUUGAAUAAGUCACUUACUGAUGGACAUUUAGGAUAUUUGGAAAUUUUUUCUUACUAAGCAAUCCUGCAAUAACUAUCUCUAUACGUAUAUGCAUUUUUUUAGAAAAUCCAUUUGUGUGAUUAUUUCCUUAGGAUAAAUUGCUCAGGGUGGAACUGACAAAGCAAAAUUUAUCUACUGCUAAACUGACCUCCUAUAAAGUUGUAUCACUAUAUAUAUCCCACCAGCAAAGACAGAGUCUGCCCAUUUCUCUGCAUCUUCACUAAUCCUGUAAUUGUCAACUGUACUUUUUGCCAUCUAAGUGAGUAUUUUCAUAUUAGAGGUACAAGAUGCUUUUUCCAAGCAUAUAACCAAACCUGAAAACUUAAGGAAAAAUAUAUUAAGAGUUCCUUUUGUGGCUCAAUGGGUUCAGAACCCAACUAGUAUCCAUGGGGAUGAGGGUUCAAUCCCUGGCUUCACUCAGUGGGUUAAGGAUCUGGUGUUGCUAUGGCUGUGGCAUAGGCCAGUGGCUACGGCUCCAAUCACCCCCUAGCCUGGGAACUUCCAUAUGCUGCAGGCGCAGCCCU